This 305-nucleotide ribosomal RNA is filed under the name uncultured bacterium. RNAcentral describes it as "bacterial SSU rRNA". It matches the Rfam family "Bacterial small subunit ribosomal RNA", at positions 333 to 656 of the family's 1533-position model. The record is from RNAcentral.
AUGCACCUACGGGGCGCAGCAGUGGGGGAUAUUGCACAAUGGGGGGAACCCUGAUGCAGCGACGCCGCGUGGGUGAAGAAGCGCCUCGGCGCGUAAAGCCCUGUCAGCAGGGAAGAAAAUGACGGUACCUGAAGAAGAAGCCCCGGCUAACUACGUGCCAGCAGCCGCGGUAAUACGUAGGGGGCAAGCGUUAUCCGGAUUUACUGGGUUUAAAGGGUGCGUAGGCGGAUUUUUAAGUCAGCGGUAAAAUGUCCGGGCUCAACCCGGGCCGGCCGUUGAAACUGGGGAUCUUGAGUGGGCGAGAA